GGCAUGCUUUACACAUGCAAGUCGGGCGGCAGCACAGAGAAGCUUGCUUCUUGGGUGGCGAGUGGCGAACGGGUGAGUAACAUAUCGGAACGUACCGAGUAAUGGGGGAUAACUAAUCGAAAGAUUAGCUAAUACCGCAUAUUCUCUGAGGAGGAAAGCAGGGGACCUUCGGGCCUUGCGUUAUUCGAGCGGCCGAUAUCUGAUUAGCUAGUUGGUGGGGUAAAGGCCUACCAAGGCGACGAUCAGUAGCGGGUCUGAGAGGAUGAUCCGCCACACUGGGACUGAGACACGGCCCAGACUCCUACGGGAGGCAGCAGUGGGGAAUUUUGGACAAUGGGCGCAAGCCUGAUCCAGCCAUGCCGCGUGUCUGAUGAAGGCCUUCGGGUUGUAAAGGACUUUUGUCAGGGAAGAAAAGGCUGUUGCUAAUAUCGACAGCUGAUGACGGUACCUGAAGAAUAAGCACCGGCUAACUACGUGCCAGCAGCCGCGGUAAUACGUAGGGUGCGAGCGUUAAUCGGAAUUACUGGGCGUAAAGCGAGCGCAGACGGUUACUUAAGCAGGAUGUGAAAUCCCCGGGCUCAACCUGGGAACUGCGUUCUGAACUGGGUAACUAGAGUGUGUCAGAGGGAGGUAGAAUUCCACGUGUAGCAGUGAAAUGCGUAGAGACGUGGAGAAUACCGAUGGCGGAGGCAGCCUCCUGGGAUACACUGACGUCAUGCUCGAAAGCGUGGNUAGCAAACAGGAUUAGAUACCUGGUAGUCCACGCCCUAAACGAUGUCAUUAGCUGUUGGGCAACUUGAUUGCUUAGUAGCGUAGCUAACGCGUGAAAUUGACCGCCUGGGGAGUACGGUCGCAAGAUUAAAACUCAAAGGAAUUGACGGGGACCCGCACAAGCGGUGGAUGAUGUGGAUUAAUUCGAUGCAACGCAAAGAACCUUACCUGGUCUUGACGUGUACGGAAUCCUCCAGAGACGGAGGAGUGCCUUCGGGAGCCGUAACACAGGUGCUGCAUGGCUGUCGUCAGCUCGUGUCGUGAGAUGUUGGGUUAAGUCCCGCAACGAGCGCAACCCUUGUCAUUAGUUGCCAUCAUUUAGUUGGGCACUCUAAUGAGACUGCCGGUGACAAGCCGGAGGAAGGUGGGGAUGAUGUCAAGUCCUCAUGGCCCUUAUGACCAGGGCUUCACACGUCAUACAAUGGUCGGCACAGAGGGUAGCCAAGCCGCGAGGUGGAGCCAAUCUCACAAAACCGAUCGUAGUCCGGAUUGCACUCUGCAACUCGAGUGCAUGAAGUCGGAAUCGCUAGUAAUCGCAGGUCAGCAUACUGCGGUGAAUACGUUCCCGGGUCUUGUACACACCGCCCGUCACACCAUGGGAGUGGGGGAUACCAGAAGUAGGUAGGGUAACCGCAAGGAGCCCGCUUACCACGGUAUGCUUCAUGACUGGAGUGAAGUCGUAACAAGGUA
Molecule: ribosomal RNA, 1461 nt
Filed under: uncultured Neisseria sp.
Lineage: Bacteria; Pseudomonadati; Pseudomonadota; Betaproteobacteria; Neisseriales; Neisseriaceae
Description: 16S ribosomal RNA
Rfam family: Bacterial small subunit ribosomal RNA
Source: RNAcentral